GAUUUUUUUAUCUGUUCAGUGCUAUAAUCUGGUGAUGAUACCAUCGUGUUGAUUAAAACAAAAAUCCACAACGAACAGAAGUAUGUCAAGAUCAGUGAACCCAGCCUGAAUGAGUUCUUGAACUCUGGUCGAACAAGACUUCAUCCUGCAGUUUGGUGAAGAUGUUGCUGCCAAGUUUUUGGAAAAGU
Labrus bergylta (ballan wrasse) is the source of this 188-nucleotide non-coding RNA. The record is from RefSeq and is a predicted model, not a curated record. NCBI's taxonomy places the organism in Eukaryota, Metazoa, Chordata, Actinopteri, Labriformes, Labridae.